This 250-nucleotide ribosomal RNA is filed under the name uncultured bacterium. RNAcentral describes it as "partial 16S ribosomal RNA". It matches the Rfam family "Bacterial small subunit ribosomal RNA", at positions 524 to 773 of the family's 1533-position model. The record is from RNAcentral.
UACAGAGGGUGCAAGCGUUAAUCGGAAUUACUGGGCGUAAAGCGCGCGUAGGUGGUUAGGUAAGUUGGAUGUGAAAGCCCCGGGCUUAACCUGGGAACUGCAUCCAAAACUGCCGGACUAGAGUACGGUAGAGGGUGGUGGAAUUUCCUGUGUAGCGGUGAAAUGCGUAGAUAUAGGAAGGAACACCAGUGGCGAAGGCGACCACCUGGACUGAUACUGACACUGAGGUGCGAAAGCGUGGGGAGCAAAC